Molecule: ribosomal RNA, 717 nt
Filed under: uncultured bacterium
Lineage: Bacteria
Description: bacterial SSU rRNA
Rfam family: Bacterial small subunit ribosomal RNA
Source: RNAcentral
AGAGUUUGAUCCUGGCUCAGGAUGAACGCUAGCGGCAGGCCUAAUACAUGCAAGUCGAGCGGCAGCGGCCCCUACCUAGUAGGGGUGUCGGCGAGCGGCGCACGGGUGCGUAACGCGUAUGCAACCUACCUUGAAGAGGGGAAUAGCCCGCGGAAACGCGGAUUAAUGCCCCGUGGCGAGGGAGAAGGGCAUCCUUUUCCUUCUAAAGCUUCGGCGCUUCGGGAUGGGCAUGCGUCCAAUUAGCUAGAUGGCGGGGUAACGGCCCACCAUGGCGAUGAUUGGUAGGGGGCCUGAGAGGGUGAUCCCCCACACUGGUACUGAGACACGGACCAGACUCCUACGGGAGGCAGCAGUAGGGAAUAUUGGUCAAUGGGCGAGGGCCUGAACCAGCCAUGCCGCGUGCAGGAAGACGACCCUUGGGUUGUAAACUGCUUUUCUACGGGAAGAAAAGGGCCCUGCGGGGCACAUUGACGGUACCGUAGGAAUAAGCACCGGCUAACUACGUGCCAGCAGCCGCGGUAAUACAUAGGGUGCAAGCGUUGUCCGGAUUUACUGGGUUUAAAGGGUGCGCAGGCGGCCCGAUAAGUCAGCGGUGAAAGGCCCGCGCUCAACGCGGGAACUGCCGUUGAUACUGUCGGGCUUGAGUAUGCUCAAGGCAAGCGGAAUUCAUGGUGUAGCGGUGAAAUGCAUAGAUACCAUGAGGAACACCUAUUGCGU